UACGUAGGGUGCAAGCGUUAAUCGGAAUUACUGGGCGUAAAGCGUGCGCAGGCGGUUGUGUAAGUCUGUCGUGAAAUCCCCGGGCUCAACCUGGGAACUGCAUUUGUGACUGCAUCGCUGGAGUGCGGCAGAGGGGGAUGGAAUUCCGCGUGUAGCAGUGAAAUGCGUAGAUAUGCGGAGGAACACCGAUGGCGAAGGCAAUCCCCUGGGCCUGCACUGACGCUCAUGCACGAAAGCGUGGGGAGCAAACAGG
RNAcentral lists this ribosomal RNA (253 nucleotides) under uncultured bacterium. RNAcentral's name for it is "partial 16S ribosomal RNA". It matches the Rfam family "Bacterial small subunit ribosomal RNA", at positions 524 to 776 of the family's 1533-position model. The record is from RNAcentral.